UACGUAGGGUGCAAGCGUUGUCCGGAAUUAUUGGGCGUAAAGAGCUCGUAGGCGGUUUGUUGCGUCGGCUGUGAAAUCCCGAGGCUCAACCUCGGGUUUGCAGUCGAUACGAGCAAACUAGAGUGUUGCAGGGGAGACUGGAAUUCCUGGUGUAGCGGUGAAAUGCGCAGAUAUCAGGAGGAACACCGGUGGCGAAGGCGGGUCUCUGGGCAACAACUGACGCUGAGGAGCGAAAGCGUGGGGAGCGAACAGG
This 253-nucleotide ribosomal RNA is filed under the name uncultured bacterium. RNAcentral describes it as "partial 16S ribosomal RNA". It matches the Rfam family "Bacterial small subunit ribosomal RNA", at positions 524 to 776 of the family's 1533-position model. The record is from RNAcentral.